This 322-nucleotide ribosomal RNA is filed under the name uncultured Pseudomonadota bacterium. RNAcentral's name for it is "bacterial SSU rRNA". It matches the Rfam family "Bacterial small subunit ribosomal RNA", at positions 30 to 351 of the family's 1533-position model. Lineage: Bacteria; Pseudomonadati; Pseudomonadota. The record is from RNAcentral.
AUUGAACGCUGGCGGCAUGCCUUACACAUGCAAGUCGAACGGCAGCACGGACUUCGGUCUGGUGGCGAGUGGCGAACGGGUGAGUAAUGCAUCGGAACGUGCCAUUGAGUGGGGGAUAACGCACCGAAAGGUGUGCUAAUACCGCAUAAUCUCUACGGAGAAAAGCAGGGGAUCGCAAGACCUUGCGCUUUUGGAGCGGCCGAUGUCUGAUUAGCUAGUUGGUGAGGUAAAGGCUUACCAAGGCGUCGAUCAGUAGCUGGUCUGAGAGGACGACCAGCCACACUGGGGACUGAGACACGGCCCAGACUCCUACGGGAGGCAG